This 253-nucleotide ribosomal RNA is filed under the name uncultured bacterium. Its description in RNAcentral is "partial 16S ribosomal RNA". It matches the Rfam family "Bacterial small subunit ribosomal RNA", at positions 524 to 776 of the family's 1533-position model. The record is from RNAcentral.
UACGUAGGGGGCAAGCGUUGUCCGGAUUUAUUGGGUUUAAAGGGUGCGUAGGCGGCCUUGUAAGUCAGUGGUGAAAUACUCCAGCUUAACUGGAGGGGUGCCAAUGAUACUGCAGGGCUUGAGUACAGAUGAGGUAGGCGGAAUUGACGGUGUAGCGGUGAAAUGCAUAGAUAUCGUCAAGAACACCGAUAGCGAAGGCAGCUUACUGGGCUGUAACUGACGCUGAGGCACGAAAGUGUGGGGAUCAAACAGG